ACACGACUCUCGGCAACGGAUAUCUCGGCUCUCGCAUUGAUGAAGAACGUAGCGAAAUGCGAUACCUGGUGUGAAUUGCAGAAUCCCGCGAACCAUCGAGUCUUUGAACGCAAGUUGCGCCCGAGGCCCUCCGGCCGAGGGCACGCCUGCCUGGGCGUC
Molecule: ribosomal RNA, 159 nt
Filed under: Shibataea kumasaca
Lineage: Eukaryota; Viridiplantae; Streptophyta; Magnoliopsida; Poales; Poaceae
Description: 5.8S ribosomal RNA
Rfam family: 5.8S ribosomal RNA
About the family: 5.8S ribosomal RNA (5.8S rRNA) is a component of the large subunit of the eukaryotic ribosome. It is transcribed by RNA polymerase I as part of the 45S precursor that also contains 18S and 28S rRNA.
Source: RNAcentral